UCUCUGGCAAACAUCGAUGAAGUCGUGAACAAAAUUAGACUGAAAAUAAGGAGACUGGAUGACAACAUUCGAACUGUCGUAAGAGGUCAAACAAAUGUGGGGCAGGAUGGCCGGCAAUUCUGCCUGAUUGUUCCAGCCUGUUGAGACCUUCUGGAAUCUUCAUGACCUUCGCAUUUAUCAUGAGCGGAUUUGCCAGAUGGGCCUUCUAUGUCUUCAUUCAAGUUGCAUAUGAAAAGGUUGACCAGGAUGGGUUCAGAGUCAUGUGGCAUGCUAUUAGAGACUUCUCAUUUUUCUCUUCUUAUCCUCAUUUUAGUACAAAGUGCCAGGCCCAGGAGACAAAGGAUUGUUUUUCCGGUCUUCGGUAUCCGUCCAAGGCUGUGUUUCUUAAUUUUUCUGUGUUCUUCAUUUUCCUCAGCAAAGGAGGCUAAUCAUACUUGCCUUCUUCUCUUUUACACAGAGAUAUCGUAAAGAUUUAUUAACUAAAUCAGCAAAGCAUGUUGCCUUCCAAGGAGAAAGUGUUCUUUGCUUUUCACCCUCAAAAUUAGUAUGUCAUCUGAGUCAGGCCUUAGAGCAAAAAUAAUUGUGCUCUCCAAGACCCUGCACUAGGUAGACGGACUUCGCAGUAUAGCCCCGAUCUUCAUCAUGUGGGAUUAUCACUUUAUAAUUGUCAGCUCUCUUGCAAGAUGGCUUGAAUCUUCCCCUCCAUCAUUUCAGAUAUAUCCUUUCGCUCAUCUUUUCUUUGGGAGGAAAAUGAAGCCCAUUGAUGGAAGAAAAUAAAUGGCACUUAGUAGUAAAGGGACCGGGACUUCCCUGGUGGCUCAGUGGUAAAGACCUCGCGCUCCCAGUGCAGGGGGCCCGGGUUCGAUCCCUGGUCAAGGAACUAGAUCCCACAUGCGUGCCACCACUAAGAGUUCGCGUGCCACAAUCAAGGAGCCGGCGAGCCACAACUAUGGAGCCCACCUGCUGCAACUAAGGAGCCCGCCUGCCACAACUGAGACCUGGCACAACUAAAUAAAUUAAUUUAAUUUAAUUUUAAAAAAUACUUUAAACUAGUAGAGGAACCAUAAAUAGUUUGGGGAGGAAAAAAAAAAAGGCAACUGUCACUUGCUUCCUCCUACUGAAACAUACUAAAUCUAAAGCAAGUGAGCUUUUUAAAUUGUAGGCUCAAAUUUUUCCAUUUGUGACCGAGAAUGGUUAGGCAUUCUUUGGUUUCUUUUAGAUUUUUUUUGAAUUAUAUUUUUCAGACUGCAGACAACACUGAAUGAACUUCAGCAAUUGCUAAGGUGUGAGAAUGGCCUGGGAGUGCAGCACACCUGUGAUUCAGUGGGGCAGUGCUGGAGUCAGGGUGUAGUUGAGCCUUUUGCAGGGGCCAGCGUCCCUGGUUUUGACUGGGACUCUCCGCCAUUCCCCAACCAGGAUUUCUUCCAUCUGGUGCAGAGGUCAGUGUUGGCUUGCUUUUAUUUGAUAAGUUGCAUCCAAGUGAGUGUUCAGUUUCCCAUGCUUCUAGUGCACUGUUGGCUGUAGUUGAGGCAAGGACUCAUAGAAUGUCCAGUGUCGAGCAC
Molecule: long non-coding RNA, 1562 nt
Organism: Physeter macrocephalus (sperm whale)
Lineage: Eukaryota; Metazoa; Chordata; Mammalia; Artiodactyla; Physeteridae
Exons: 3
Source: RefSeq, a predicted model, not a curated record